GUCUUGAUGUCCAUUAUGAUAUGUAAUUAUAAGAAACAUACCGAAAGCAAUAAAGUGUUUAUGGUCUUAGAAUAACCUUCAAUAUGAGUUUGAGGCACUUUAAUUUAUCGUGAUCGUGUCUUGAACUGGUGUCAGUUCUUCAUAGCCGUUUUUCCUUAUUUUCAAUAACAAAUAAUGCAGUCGUCUAAUCCAAGUCAGAAAUCCUACGCAUUUAUAUAUGUGAAAAAUUGCCGCCAAUGCUAUAAAAUCAAUAGUGGAAUGCUUAGAGGGUAUCGUUAACGAGUGUGGAUCAAUUUUAAGUUAGUUCAAAACGAGGAUUAUCUAUGAUGACAAGUUGCAAAUUACAGUGGGACAGUUUAGCGCGGAUGCUGCGUAUUAUCUUGUUCACCACUUCAGCAUAUUAUCGUCAUUAAUGUGUGGCACGGUAUGCUCGAUACUUUAGUGUGUGUAUUAGUUCGCUAGCACUGAGAAAAUUUUUACUGGAGUUUAUAAAAAAACCAACACGCAGAAAGACAAAAAGAGGAAGAAGAGGGAGAAGAAGAAGAAGAAGAAGAAAAACACAGCAGUGCAAACAUACUUGACCUAUUUUCCAUGUGGACUCGCACUGAUCAAAAGGAAAUAUUGAACCAGCUUACCUGCAGCUUUAUUGGACGAUGGCUUCGACUUCUCCAAGUCAAGAGACGGCUGGUUAGUUCUCCUGCUCGUAUGCCUUCAGUAGAAUCUAAAUUUUGAUAAAACCGUGGUCGAAACCGGAAAUUUCUGUAAAACAAAUAUAUAAAAAAUAGGAUAAUAUUGUAAUAUUAGGUCACGUAAUAUAAAAUUGAUUAAACAUACAAAUAUCGAAUGUAAACACUAAACAAUAAAACGCAAACAAAAUUUCAUUUA
Long non-coding RNA from Bombus pascuorum, 885 nucleotides. RefSeq lists it as uncharacterized. The transcript has 2 exons. Lineage: Eukaryota; Metazoa; Arthropoda; Insecta; Hymenoptera; Apidae. The record is from RefSeq and is a predicted model, not a curated record.